UACGUAGGGUGCAAGCGUUGUCCGGAAUUAUUGGGCGUAAAGAGCUCGUAGGCGGUUUGUCGCGUCGGGAGUGAAAACACUGGGCUUAACUCAGUGCUUGCUUCCGAUACGGGCAGACUAGAGGUAUGCAGGGGAGAACGGAAUUCCUGGUGUAGCGGUGAAAUGCGCAGAUAUCAGGAGGAACACCGGUGGCGAAGGCGGUUCUCUGGGCAUUACCUGACGCUGAGGAGCGAAAGUGUGGGGAGCGAACAGG
RNAcentral lists this ribosomal RNA (253 nucleotides) under uncultured bacterium. Its description in RNAcentral is "partial 16S ribosomal RNA". It matches the Rfam family "Bacterial small subunit ribosomal RNA", at positions 524 to 776 of the family's 1533-position model. The record is from RNAcentral.